AGACUCCGAACAAACAACCAAACACAGGAAACCGACUACCAAUCGAUGGGCUUACGUCAGACUCCAAACGACAAACAGGAAACCGACUGCCAAUCACUGGGCUUACGUCAGACUCCACACACACACCAAACACGGGAAACCGACUACCAAUCGCUAGACUUACAUCAGACUCCAACAAGCAAACAAGAAGGUUGAAAAAGAAAAAGGGCGCCCGGAGAGAUCU
Molecule: long non-coding RNA, 223 nt
Filed under: Lathyrus oleraceus (garden pea)
Lineage: Eukaryota; Viridiplantae; Streptophyta; Magnoliopsida; Fabales; Fabaceae
Description: Pisum sativum (pea) long non-coding RNA (PSAT_LNC005907)
Source: RNAcentral